UACGGGGGGAGCAAGCGUUACUCGGAAUUACUGGGCGUAAAGCGUGCGUAGGUGGUUUGUUAAGUCUGAUGUGAAAGCCCUGGGCUCAACCUGGGAACUGCAUUGGAAACUGGCUGACUAGAGUGCGGUAGAGGGGUGUGGAAUUCCCGGUGUAGCAGUGAAAUGCGUAGAUAUCGGGAGGAACAUCUGUGGCGAAGGCGACACCCUGGACCAGCACUGACACUGAGGCACGAAAGCGUGGGGAGCAAACGGG
RNAcentral lists this ribosomal RNA (253 nucleotides) under uncultured bacterium. Its description in RNAcentral is "partial 16S ribosomal RNA". It matches the Rfam family "Bacterial small subunit ribosomal RNA", at positions 524 to 776 of the family's 1533-position model. The record is from RNAcentral.